GUAGAUAUUCUACCAUCUUAACAUGGCAUGGAAUUUGUGCUGGGCAACUUCUCUUGGUGAAAAGAUGAAGUCUAGUACUGAGAUGCGGAAAUUAUUAUCUGAACCUGGUGUCCCUACCCUGGAUCAGGUACUGUAUUUUUGUCCUGUUUAUGACAACCAAAAUUCUUCAAUUUUCUUCAGUACCUUUGAAAUCAAGUUGAAUUGUUAUACAGACACGACCACUUUUCUUAGUUGUUAGAUUUACUUCAUUCAUGGAAACUGCAUCAUUUGAUUGUGUGAGCAUUUGCCUCCGUACCAAUAUAGAAUGGAGUUUGGGGAAAUUUUGUCAAACACAUUUGUUUGCAAAGGUCGGACCAACACUCAAUCCACCUUUUCUCAGGACCUUAGAUUGAUGGUAAUAGAGUUGGCAAUGCCUCUUUCUGUAUGACUAAGUUUUUAGUGUUUGUCAUAGCAUCAUUAGGCACAUGAGGUAGUGGAGAGCAACUAUUUUAUGUCAGCUGUGGAAGAAACAACUGAGAAAUGGAAACAAACACAAAAGUAAGAACUGUCAUGGCUAAAUACGGAUUGGAGCUGCAUACUGAAAUGAGUACAACUACAUAUGAAUUUGUUAGAACCAUUCAUAGCACUCAAAAGAGUUCUUCAAAUAUUAAAGUGCACGGAUUGUACAAUGCAGCAUCUUUUGGAUUCAGCGUCUACUCUUCGCAAGGGCUCUAGAUUUUCUCAGGCUGCUGCUGCUUUGCACGAGUUCAAGUUCCUCUGUGCUGGAGCAAGAGAACAAAAUUGUGCCCAGUAUUGGCUUGGAAGGGUACAAACUUUCUCUUUAACUGUUGGUACAUUAGCAGGAAUAAUGGAACUCCUCUCAGCUUUUGUACCAUAGUCUAAGACUCUAAGCUUGAAGAGGCUAAGCUUUUGCAGGCGCAAGGUCAGCAUGAGAUGGCUAUCAACCUUGCAAAGUACAUUUCUCAAAAUCACCAGUCCAGUGAAGUAAUCUCGGAUGUGUAUCGUUUAGUUGGGAAGUGGCUUGCAGAAUCGCGAUCUAGCAAGUUAGUUAUACAUCACAUAUAUGAGAAAGAAGUAUAUAUGGACGUUGAUGCCUUUUGAUGUAUAAUAUAUAAUCAUUUUCCCUCACUUCAUGAAUGUGAUGAUC
RNA transcript from Rhododendron vialii, 1147 nucleotides. It is a transcript of the gene named serine/threonine-protein kinase ATM-like, with no coding region annotated. The transcript has 4 exons. Lineage: Eukaryota; Viridiplantae; Streptophyta; Magnoliopsida; Ericales; Ericaceae. The record is from RefSeq and is a predicted model, not a curated record.